UCCAAUAUGUCCCUAUUCUGAAGUCACUGCUUCAGGUUUUGAGCCAAAAUGACAUCCAGGAUUUGAUCUUGCAUGAUGGAGAGACUCAAAGUAAUGGUAAAACUCAGUACACAGCAUUUUCUGAUGGCGUGUAUUAUAAAACAAAUGAGUUGUUUUCUGGAGAAGAUCCUGCCAUUGCUAUUAUUCUCAUAUGUUGAUGACUUUGAGAUAUGUAAUCCUCUGGGCACAUAAAGGAAAAAACACAAAGUGACAGCUGUGUAUUGGGUGUUAGUUGAUGUCUCUGCACUACUCAGAUCUUUGCUAACCUCCAUCUUCUUAGCAAUUCUGUGCAAAUCUGAUGAUGUGAAAGAUUUGGUUACAGUACUGUACUGGAUUCAUUGCUUAAGGAUCUUGGGAGCUUAGAAGAGGAGGGCCUGUAUGUUCCAGCAUUAGGCAGAAGAAUCAAAGGAAGUGUUUUGUGUUGUGGCUGAUAAUCUUGGGGCACAUUCUGUUGGGGGAUUGUUGAAAACUUCUCCAGUUCUCAUACUUGUAGAUUUUGUUUGUGUGAGCAGUCACAGUUUCAGGUGGAAGAAGUGAGAUCAGGGGCAUUUCAACUCAGAACCAAGGAACAACAUGAAAUUCAUGUUCAGACUAUACAGGAGAAUACAGCUUAGACUCAUGUCUGUGGAGUCAAGAGAAAGUGUGCACUGACAGAGAAUCUUAUGUAUUUUAAUGUUUUGUCAGGCUACCCGCCUGAUGUGUUGCAUGACCUGUUUGAAGGCAUAGUCCCCCGAGAAUUGGCUCUGUCUUCAGGUUUUUAUCAAGAGUAAAUAUUUCACUCUUGAUGAACACAACAAAAGCAUUAAAAUAUUCCCCUACAAAUCGUCAAACAAGAGUGAUGCACCACAGGCAGUCCCUCUGAAUUUUGCAGCUAAAAAAAGUGUUGGAGGGAACGCCCGUGAAAACUGCUCAUUGCUGCGAUUCCUGCCCCUAAUAAUUGGAUCCAAAAUCCCUGAGGGUGAACCAGCAUGGGAAGUACUUCUAGUGCUCAAAGACAUAGUUGAGCUUGUCGUAAGUCAUGUUCACACAGAGGAGAGUAUUUGUUACCUAGACGGUAAAAUCUCUGAACACAGACACAAGUUUCUCCAGGUUUUCCCACAUGAAAAACUAAUCCCCAAACAUCAUUACCUGGAACAUUAUCCCCAUCUGAUCAGGGCCUAUGGUCCACCAGUGUUACUUUGGACUAUGCGGUUUCAAGCCAAACACAUUAAGCGUGUUGUCAGGCACACUCACAGCUUUCGAAAUAUUCUGCUGUCACUUUCCAUGAAGCAUCAGCUGAUGAUUGCAUAUCACCAGCAUGAUCCCAGUGUUGUGAAGCCUGCCUUACAGGCCACACAUCUGUCUACUGUAGAUGUUAUUGUGCUAAGCCAAGAUAUCCAGGAAGCAAUACAGGCAAAAAUCCCUGGCGAAACACGCAUUCAGAUUGCCAACAAUGCCUGUUACUGUGGCACAAAAUAUGCAAUUGGUAUGAUUUUGGCCAAUGGCUCAACGGUCGGUCUGACAGCUUUUGGAGAGCUGAUCCAAAUAGUUGUUGUGAAGGGUGCACUUUUAUUCAUUGUUAAAUGCUUGACUUCUUGGUAAGUUGAACAUCUCAGGAGCUAUGUCCUUGAGAAAACACACAGUGUGAAAGUGCUUGAGCCUGCAGAGUUAUGUGACAUGUUCCCUUUAAUACCUUACAAAAUUGGUGGAAAAAGCAUUGUAACGCUGAAACGCCACAUUUCUGUUACAUAGACCAAAAUACCAAAAUAUCUUCAUCUGUCAAAUCUGGAAAUCAGAACUGGAACAAAAAGUUUUUAGGCCAGUUUUGUGAAACAUCGACAAUAUUCUGUGACCAACAUAUUGCUUUUUUGCUUCAAGGUUUAGGCCUGCCUUGCUACAAUUUCAUUGUUAUUUACAUGCACGAUGCAAUUGCAGUGUAAGAAGAGGCCCUGCUUUAAUGAUAGAGGACAUCAUGUUUUCAUUUUAAAGAAUAAACAAGCAGAAAUAGAAAUACAUGUCUUAAAGUGUUGGUCAAAUACUGUGUAAAACCUAUACAACUCUGUGAGAAACACAAUAUGGUAUUUCUUACUGACUCUUGUAAAUUUGCUCCUUUCAAAUAUUUUGUGUAUUGCAGAUUAAUCAGUGUCACAACCAGCCCAUCUCAGAGUGAUACUUUCAGACCAUGAUGUCCAGAAACUGACAUUACUGAAAUUACUGGAAUUCCUGGAACAGUUGGAGAACUUCUUUCAGUUGUUCAAGAUACAUUUGGAAUUUAUGGGGAAUUUUGUUUGCACUACAAGGAUGCUGAUUUUGGUAACAACUUUUUCUCCUUGCUUUCAACAAGUGACAUCUCAGAUAAGGACACAAUCAAGGUUGUACAUGUCCUACAACCAUCAACAGUUACUUUGACCCUAUCAGAUGCAAACAGCUCCUUCUCGAGCCUUACUGAUGGUUGUCUUCAGCCUUCUGAUGAUGCCAGCUCGUCUGUGUCCUCCCAUGACACAUUGCCUGUUUCUCCAGGACCAUCGACGGAAAGCCCAACCCAACUUUCAAAGAGUUGGCCGUCAGAUUUUGCAAUCCCUCAUUUCUCUUCCAGUACAGAGAUUCUGCUGCAGUCAGGCAAUGACAAAUUAGAUUCUUCUGGAACUCUUUUCAGUACCAAAGGUCUCAUGUCACUACUUCCAGACAUUCUUAGAACUUUAGCUGAGGCCGUUUUUGAGUACACUGCUUAUCCAUCAAGUGCACAACUAGUUCAAGUAGCAGAAGCCCUGAUCAAAAAACAUCCCUGCCUCAAAGAACCUGGAUCUUUCAAUGGAUGUUAUGGCUGGAUCCAGCUACUCAAAUAUGAACAACUUCAGAUCCAAACUUCAAGGUGGUGGUUAUCCAGAGAUUGUCGUGAACUCACUCAAGAGGAAACCACCACAUGAGCAGACUCCUGCUAAAAACAUUAAAAAGCCCAAAAAGGCAGAAGUAAAUUACCUACCACCUCAUCCUCAAGGUGAAACAAGUGCAAGUUUGGAGAAAGAGAGAGUGGACCUCUUACAUGAAGUGGUGAAAAAUGAUAAUUGCUGCGUGGUUGCUGAGAAAAUGGCAAAAACAUUCUCUCUUCGUAGGCAAGAAAUCAUUUAUGAGGCUCCUGCUAUAAAGGAUUUCAUGGAGCGCUGGCUUGCUUUGCUUGAUGCAAUACAUGUAAGUUUUUUCACCUAUAUUUUAAAUUUAACAUAAUGAAAUUAACUGUUAAAAUUUUUGACUUAUUUUAUUAUUUUACAUGAUCCUUUCCUCUACAUCAUCAUAUGCAUGUUCUCCUUGUUUUGAAAUUAUUUUUUAAAACAUCAAUGCAAAAAGUAGAACACAUUCAUACAUUAGAACAUUCUUGAACACAAUACCAAGCAGAAUUAUGAAAAUAGCCUGCCUGCAGCUUUAACAUUACAAGGCAAUUGAAAAAAAAAACCCUAUGCAACAUGGAUGAUAUAUCCACAACAAGUUUUAAGUCUUUCAAAUGAAAUUAAUACCUUCUUAGAAGAUAUUAACAAAAUACUGGUCAGUAAUGAAGGGUCAUUCAGCUGCUAGGCUUUUUUUUCGCGCUGCACCUCAGAAUUCAUAUUUCAAUAUUUAAUGUAGGAGGUGCUUUUCUUUACCUAUUGACAUAUAGUAUGGUAAUAUUCAUUGGUAAAUGUCACACCAGUAUUCUUAAUUGUCUGCAGGAAUUUUAUUUUUUUCUGUUUGUGUACAGAUAAAUGACAAAUUCAAAAGAAUAACUACCAUAAGCCUGGAAUCUACUUUUAUGCACAAACUUGAUCAGUGCACCCCAAAACUGAUGGACACAGUAACAUCAAGGGGAGGAGCUACAGGUACAAGAAUCAGGAAGAUCAAAGACAUGCUUCUUGAGCACAAUAUGAUUGAUGUACGCAGAGAAGUAGCCAUCCCCUGUCUUGUUGUGUACCUCGGAGAAAAGGAAGAGGACCUUUUCAGGGAGUUUAGUGCCACAGAAGAGUUUGAGGCAGGCCAAGUCAACCCCAGGACCUGACCACAAGACUGCAACCAUCGUGGUUGAGGGAACCAAAAUCCUUGAGGGAAAGGAUAUUCCAAGGUGCUGUGCUUUGCUGAUGGGCAUCAUUUAUGCUCUGAAUCUGAGCUAUCGCAAGGAACUCAAAUAUACUUUUGAAGUCUUUCAGAAGCUGUUUCUUGAACUCGAUGGACUGAGCCAGCACAAAAGUAGUGAGUCUCUAGAACAGCAUCGUUUGAGGGGGCCAUUUGUUUCAGAGCAGUGUUUAUUUAGAUAUUGUCUUUUUUGUUUGUUUUAAAGUCCACUGAAGAGGCUAUGAAACUGCUGAAACAAAACACAAGACAAAAUUCAAGAUAAUUUCUUUCUUCUUUUGUUGGUUUGGGUAUGUUUGUGUAACCAAUCUUAGCUUGAGAUUUGAAAAAACAAAAAUGAUAUUGAAAGGGAUAGAUGGUUUAGUCCACACAGGUGACGUAACAGGUAAUGUACAGAAUCUACAAUUUUUGUGUUUUAGAAACAAAUGAUGUGGACUUGACUAAUUAGUUACAUAUGCAACUUACAUAGAGCAACUUUAUAAAAAUUUCAUUGCAUGUUACUUGGCAUAUGCUGUUAUCUUCGCUGAGACUCAGGUUUUAACAGGUUACAGUUGUUAAAUAUGUAUUUUGGAUGUAUUUCAUAAUCUGUUGUUCCACUUUUAGGACUGGCUUAGACUCUUAUACCAUGUUAGUCUGCAUAUAUUCCUUUAAAGAGGCAUACUGAUGCAUAGAAUUUUUGACAUACUGUGUCAGAAACUGAUUACCAUGAAAACAUCCUCAUCAUUAUUUUUGUAGAAUUGUUAGUAAAGAUCUUUACUAUAUUAUGUUAAAAAAAAUGUGCAGAACCCUUAGAAGUUUAGUGACAGUUGAGAGUUAUCCAACUUGCUUGGAAUUUUAUUACUGUAGUUUAAGAAAAUGUUAAAAAUGUUUCACAGAAUGAUUUAAAAUUUGGAGUUCUAAAGUUUGUACAUGUUUGGCACUGUGGUUUUAACUACGGAAAGGCCUAUAACUUUGCUGUGAUGGCAUAACUAGUUUGUUGUGAUGGCAUAAUUCGGUAUGGUUACAACUUAAUUUUACAAGGCAGUAUGGCCACAUCGUUUAUUUAGAACUUGUGGGGCAAUUUAAGUUUGUGAACUUUUCCUCUAAAUAUAGAAAAAAAUAAAAAGUUAACAAACAGUUUUGAUGCUGAGUGAAUUCAUUUUAUAAAGCUGGAAUAAAAGCAUAAAAAAUAUAAUUGGCACAACUUAAUUUUUUAACAGUUGUCAGCUUACAGUUUUUCUCAAUUAAGACACUGUUUCUGAAAAAUAGCACACAUUUCCCAACACACCGCACACUAUUUUCUUUAUUUGAACACAAUUCACAAAGCACUGCACACUUGUGUCAGAAGCGCACUUUAUUGUCAAAAUUUGAACUUUGUUUUCAAA
Molecule: long non-coding RNA, 5480 nt
Organism: Amphiprion ocellaris (clown anemonefish)
Lineage: Eukaryota; Metazoa; Chordata; Actinopteri; Pomacentridae
Exons: 3
Source: RefSeq, a predicted model, not a curated record